Molecule: ribosomal RNA, 471 nt
Filed under: uncultured bacterium
Lineage: Bacteria
Description: bacterial SSU rRNA
Rfam family: Bacterial small subunit ribosomal RNA
Source: RNAcentral
UGGGGAAUUUUGGACAAUGGGGGAAACCCUGAUCCAGCCAUGCCGCGUGAGUGAAGAAGGCCUUCGGGUUGUAAAGCUCUUUCAGCCGGAAAGAAAGCGCACAGGUUAAUACCUUGUGUGGAUGACGGUACCGGAAGAAGAAGCACCGGCUAACUACGUGCCAGCAGCCGCGGUAAUACGUAGGGUGCGAGCGUUAAUCGGAAUUACUGGGCGUAAAGCGUGCGCAGGCGGUUUUGUAAAACCAUGUGAAAUCCCCGGGCUUAACCUGGGAACUGCAUAGGUGACUGCAAGGCUAGAGUACGGCAGAGGGGGGUAGAAUUCCACGUGUAGCAGUGAAAUGCGUAGAUAUGUGGAGGAAUACCGAUGGCGAAGGCAGCCCCCUGGGUCGAUACUGACGCUCAUGCACGAAAGCGUGGGGAGCAAACAGGAUUAGAUACCCGGGUAGUCCCUGAGCGGGCUGGCAAGGCGCAU